Small nuclear RNA from Eptesicus fuscus (big brown bat), 191 nucleotides. RefSeq annotates it as U2 spliceosomal RNA. Lineage: Eukaryota; Metazoa; Chordata; Mammalia; Chiroptera; Vespertilionidae. The record is from RefSeq and is a predicted model, not a curated record. The transcript has a single exon.
AUCACUUCUCGGCCUUCUGGCUAAGAUCAAGUGUAGUAUCUGUUCUUAUCAGUUUAAUACCUGAUACGUCCUCUAUCUGAGGACAUUAUAUUAAAUGUAUUUUUGGGAUAGAAAGAUGGUAUAGGAGCUUGCUCCGUCUACUCCACGCAUUGUCCCGGUAUUGCAGUGCCUCCUAGAACGGUGCACACACA